This 55-nucleotide transfer RNA is filed under the name Hypodontus macropi. Its description in RNAcentral is "tRNA-Pro". Lineage: Eukaryota; Metazoa; Nematoda; Chromadorea; Rhabditida; Strongylidae. The record is from RNAcentral.
CAGUAUGUAGUUUAGGUUAAAAUGUAAUAUUUGGGUUAUUAAGAUUGGGUACUGA